RNAcentral lists this long non-coding RNA (372 nucleotides) under Medicago truncatula (barrel medic). RNAcentral's name for it is "long non-coding RNA (MTRU_LNC006488)". The record is from RNAcentral. Lineage: Eukaryota; Viridiplantae; Streptophyta; Magnoliopsida; Fabales; Fabaceae.
GUUUUCAUUGUCAAAAUGAUCACCAGAGCUAACCUGUAAAGUAACAUUGUUAAGUAAAGCCUACACUCCUUUACCAACUCUUUCUCUAACGCAAACAACUGACGCUUUCAAUUCCAAGUCUCUCCUCCCUCUUCCCGCCCCUAAAGAGAACAUAUUUGCCACUAACAUUCGCUAAUUCAUAGAAAACUCAAACAACCUCUUAAAUCAAUCCUUUAGAGGAAUACCCUCCAACCAAUGAUCAUACCAAAAGUAAGUAUCAACACUACUAUUAAAUUUUCUCAUUCUCCUAACCUCUGAACUCUUUAUCCAAAUGAGUAGUAUCCCAACCAAUCCAAAAAAUUUCCUAGAAUCCUCACACCCAAAAAAAAAAAA